AUGUAUAACGCAAUCUUGUUAUUUAAUUUGUACACAGUAUAUGUAAUGCAUACCUCUUACACACUAGGAACAUGUGUGAUGCAAUCAAACUACUCACCGUAUCCACUGAUGAGGUCUGUGUUCAAUAAGGAAGUAAGGAAAAAAAAACUACUUAUGCAACUCGAUUGGUGGCAUUCAGGAAUCAGGAGGGACCCGGAGAGGGCUGCACGCGUUGGAUAUGGGUCGGGGGAGCGGUCGGCCGGCGUUGCAAGGUGUUGGACGCCAUGGAGUUGGGUCGGAGGAGUGCCGCGCUGCGGCGUGAUUGUGCCCGAGGAUUUGGCGGAGGUGCAUGGGGAGGACCUCGGCGAUGGACUGAGAUGA
This 360-nucleotide ribosomal RNA is filed under the name Triticum aestivum (bread wheat). RNAcentral describes it as "partial small subunit ribosomal RNA". Lineage: Eukaryota; Viridiplantae; Streptophyta; Magnoliopsida; Poales; Poaceae. The record is from RNAcentral.